RNAcentral lists this transfer RNA (72 nucleotides) under Ovis aries (sheep). It matches the Rfam family "tRNA". Rfam says of the family: Transfer RNA (tRNA) molecules are approximately 80 nucleotides in length. The record is from Rfam by way of RNAcentral. Lineage: Eukaryota; Metazoa; Chordata; Mammalia; Artiodactyla; Bovidae.
UCCCUGGUGGCUCAGACGGUAAAGCGUCUGCCUGCAAGGCAGGAGACCCGGGUUCAAUUCCUGGGUUGGGAA